Canis lupus familiaris (dog) is the source of this 104-nucleotide non-coding RNA. Lineage: Eukaryota; Metazoa; Chordata; Mammalia; Carnivora; Canidae. The record is from Rfam.
AGGAGGAACAGCCCCAGUGGCGGGGCAGCUCUGGAAACCUGGAUUCAGCUCCGGCAGGAACUCCGGAGCUCUCCGUCUGCAGGGCCUGGAGGCUCCGGGGCGGG